This 597-nucleotide ribosomal RNA is filed under the name Triticum aestivum (bread wheat). RNAcentral's name for it is "partial small subunit ribosomal RNA". The record is from RNAcentral. Lineage: Eukaryota; Viridiplantae; Streptophyta; Magnoliopsida; Poales; Poaceae.
AUGCCUCGCGCUCGUGCCGCGGCCGUCCUGGCGCUCGCGCUUCUGCCGACGCUGGCCGCCGCCGGCAUCGAUUUCCGCCGCGAGGCCCCGCCGCCCGGUCACACGUGCGGCGCGCAGGGCACGUACGCUCCCGGCAGCGCCUACGAGGCCAACCUGCGGCGUCUCGGCGCCACCCUUCCCUCCCAGGCAAACGCGUCCUCCUGCAAGUGCUCUCCCGGCAACAACGCCGGCGAGCGUCCCGAUAGGGUCAUCGCGUCGGCCUACUGCUACUGGCUCCCCGACGGGAGCUCGCCGGACUGCGGGGCCUGCAUCACGCGGGCUUUCCGGGAGGCGGAACGGCUGUGCCCGUAUCACCGGCAGGCCAUGGUGGUGGUCGACGGCGGCGCGUGCAGCGUCUGCUUUCACGACGAACAGCGCAUGGAGGAGGGCAUGGGCGUCGGCCUCACCGGGCAAUUUGCACUGGAGCCAAAUGCAUCAUAUCUUGAGUUUCUAUGUCUGAAGCUGAGGUCUCUGUUAGAGAAGCAACUUUUGGAAUCACAUAACAACAGUGAACAUUCGACCCAAGUUUGGAAGUCACCACAACAAGCCGCUACGUGA